RNAcentral lists this long non-coding RNA (543 nucleotides) under Androctonus crassicauda. The record is from RNAcentral. Lineage: Eukaryota; Metazoa; Arthropoda; Arachnida; Scorpiones; Buthidae.
AUCACUUUCAGUACCUGAUAAGUAUAGACAGAAAACAAUAGUGGAUGAAGUCUUGGUUGAGGUCUACUGGCCAAUUUUGAUUUAGGUCACUUGGCUGAUCCCAUAGAAUUACUGUAACUUCUCUAGUUUUGUUUCUCUGUAGUAUAUUUCACAUGAUCGAACCAGCAAAAGUGUUUCAAUUUCUCUGUCAGAAUUUGCUCACUUUUGUUAUUUCUAUUGCAAGAGAGAUGAUUAGAAGUUUCUUGGAAACUUCUAAUCAUCUCUCUUGCAAUAGAAAUAACAAAAGUGAGCAAAUUCUGACAGACAAAUUGAAACACUUUUGCUGGUUCGAUCAUGUGAAAUAUACUACAGAGAAACAAAACUAGAGAAGUUACAGUAAUUCUAUGGGAUCAGCCAAGUGACCUAAAUUAAAUCAAAAUUGGCCAGUAGACCUCAACCAAGACUUCAUCCACUAUUGUUUUCUGUCUAUACUUAUCAGGUACUGAAAGUGAUUUUUAAAUUUUACAUAUUCCAUUUUGUAAAUAAUUAAGAGCCUAAAGUGUC